AUGCGUAUGUUGAGAUGGAUGUGUGGCCACACGAGGAAGGAUCGAGUCCGGAAUGAUGAUAUACGAGAUAUAGUUGGGGUAGCACCAAUUGAAGAGAAGCUUGUCCAACAUCGUCUGAGAUGGUUUGGGCAUAUUCAGCGCAGGCCUCCAGAAGCUCCAGUGCAUAGCGUACGGCUAAAGCGUGCAGAGAAUGUCAAGAGAGGGCGGGGUAGAUCGAAUUUGACAUGGGAGGAGUCCGUUAAGAGAGACCUGAAUGAUUGGAGUAUCACCAAAGAGCUAGCUAUGGACAGGGGUGCGUGGAAGCUUGCUAUCUAUGUGCCAGAGCCAUGA
Molecule: ribosomal RNA, 330 nt
Filed under: Triticum aestivum (bread wheat)
Lineage: Eukaryota; Viridiplantae; Streptophyta; Magnoliopsida; Poales; Poaceae
Description: partial small subunit ribosomal RNA
Source: RNAcentral